UGCCUACGGGACGCAGCAGUGAGGAAUAUUGGUCAAUGGCCGGAAGGCUGAACCAGCCAAGCCGCGUGAAGGACGAAGGUGCCAAGCAUUGUAAACUUCUUUUGUCAAGGGACAAAAUCAGGCUCGAGAGCCUGACCGAGGGUACUUGAAGAAAAAGCAUCGGCUAACUCCGUGCCAGCAGCCGCGGUAAUACGGAGGAUGCGAGCGUUAUCCGGAUUUAUUGGGUUUAAAGGGUGCGCAGGCGGUCUGUUAAGUCAGCGGUCAAAGCCCGGGGCUCAACCCCGGCCCGCCGUUGAAACUGGCAG
This 305-nucleotide ribosomal RNA is filed under the name uncultured bacterium. RNAcentral describes it as "bacterial SSU rRNA". It matches the Rfam family "Bacterial small subunit ribosomal RNA", at positions 335 to 639 of the family's 1533-position model. The record is from RNAcentral.